Molecule: ribosomal RNA, 889 nt
Filed under: Roccellographa cretacea
Lineage: Eukaryota; Fungi; Ascomycota; Arthoniomycetes; Arthoniales; Roccellographaceae
Description: LSU rRNA
Rfam family: Eukaryotic large subunit ribosomal RNA
Source: RNAcentral
AUAUCAAUAAGCGGAGGAAAAGAAACCAACAGGGAUUGCCCCAGUAAUGGCGAAUGAAGCGGCAACAGCUCAAAUUUGAAAUCUGGCCCUUCCGGGGUCCGAGUUGUAAUUUGUAGAGGAUGCUUCGGCGUUGGCCCCGGGAUAGGUCCCUUGGAACAGGGCGCCCCAGAGGGUGAGAGCCCCGUACUCGCCCGGACGGCCCUCGCCGCGUGAAGCUCCUUCGAAGAGUCGAGUUGUUUGGGAAUGCAGCUCUAAGCGGGAGGUGAAUUUCUUCUAAAGCUAAAUACCGGCCAGAGACCGAUAGCGCACAAGUAGAGUGAUCGAAAGAUGAAAAGCACUUUGGAAAGAGAGUUAAAAAGCACGUGAAAUUGUUGAAAGGGAAGCUCUUGCCGCCAGACUUGCCGCGGUCGCUCAGCCGUCCCCUCGGGGUCGGUGUACUCGUCCGCGGCAGGCCAGCGUCAGUUCGGGCGGCCGGAAAAAGGUCCUGGGAACGUGGCCCCCCACGGGGGGUGUUAUAGCCCGGGGCGCAAUGCGGUCGGACCGGUCUGAGGAGCGCGUUCGCGAGGACGCUGGCGUAAUGGCUGCAAGCGACCCGUCUUGAAACACGGACCAAGGAGUCUAACAUCUGUGCGAGUGUCUGGGUGUCAAACUCAUGCGCGCAAUGAAAGUGAACGGAGGUGGGAACCCCGCCCCGAGGGGCGCACCAUCGACCGAUCCUGAUGUCUUCGGAUGGAUUUGAGUAAGAGCAUAGCUGUUGGGACCCGAAAGAUGGUGAACUAUACCUGAAUAGGGUGAAGCCAGAGGAAACUCUGGUGGAGGCCCGCAGCGGUUCUGACGUGCAAAUCGAUCGUCAAAUUUGGGUAUAGGGGCGAAAGACUAAUCGAACCAU